UUUUAUUUGAGAGUUUGAUCCUGGCUCAGGAUGAACGCUGGCGGCGUGCCUAACACAUGCAAGUUGAGCGAUUUACUUCGGUAAAGAGCGGCGGACGGGUGAGUAACGCGUGGGUAACCUACCCUGUACACACGGAUAACAUACCGAAAGGUAUGCUAAUACGGGAUAAUAUAUUUGAGAGGCAUCUCUUGAAUAUCAAAGGUGAGCCAGUACAGGAUGGACCCGCGUCUGAUUAGCUAGUUGGUAAGGUAACGGCUUACCAAGGCGACGAUCAGUAGCCGACCUGCGAGGGUGAUCGGCCACAUUGGAACUGAGACACGGUCCACACUCCUACGGGAGGCAGCCGUGGGGAAUAUUGCACCAUGGGCGAAAGCCUGAUGCAGCAACGCCGCGUGAGGGAUGAAGGCCUUCGGG
This 414-nucleotide ribosomal RNA is filed under the name Clostridioides difficile. Its description in RNAcentral is "bacterial SSU rRNA". It matches the Rfam family "Bacterial small subunit ribosomal RNA", at positions 1 to 422 of the family's 1533-position model. Lineage: Bacteria; Bacillati; Bacillota; Clostridia; Peptostreptococcales; Peptostreptococcaceae. The record is from RNAcentral.